UUUGUAUCAAGCUGAAUACUUAUUGAAUGAAAUAAGAAACUAUUCGCACUUAUCACUUACCGACUAAGUUGAGUGCCGACUUGUAACUUUUACAUUUAUCGCUUUAGAUGAGCCAUCGUACGAAAAAUGCUCAUUGUUUUUUUAAGUUUGCCUGCGCGCAUCUUUGUAACUAGUCGUGGGAUACUUUCCUUCGGUUUCUUUCCCGUAUGAUGGUCAAAAUUGAGUAACAAUAUGCUCCAAAGUAAUCAGAACAAUAGAUAGAAAUAGAUAACUUGAACCAGAUUGCACUCGUCGAAAUUCAACUACAUCAACGCGUUUUUCGCGUAAACACACUGUACGUAUGAUGUUGCGAUGUGGCAGGAACUGGAUAAUAAGAAAAGGUGAGCGGUGGGACAUAAAAUUCUCGUUAUUAAUAAUCAUCUAUGAUUUCGAUAUUAUAAAACCACGUAUUCACAAUAUUUUUACAGUACCCUCGUUCACUUACUUUUAUGGAAAUUUUUUUUAACCAUAUAAAAGUAUUCGAUUUCAGAGGAUUUCGAGAUUCGAAAAAAUAAAUUUCUUAUUACAUAUAUUUAGAAUGAGUUUUUAGGCACAACUCAUGCAAAUAUCAGACACUUUUACAGACAACCCAUGUGAAACGCGAGCAUGUUUUUCAAAUGUUACAUAAAAAUUUGGCAAGCGUCUUCAAAUGAGUGUAUUUUCUAAUUACCACAAUAUCAUCUGAAUUGAGGUCACAAAACACUACUUGCAAAACUUGCCAACAAAAUUUUGGCACAAUUAUUGCUGCGUUUCAGAAGGCACUAAAAAUUGGCAGUAAAUAUCAUACACGAUUCUAAAAUGAAUCAAUUAUUUAAUUAAUCUCCGGAAUAAACAAUAAUUAAGCAUUCUUAGCGUUAUCUAUACAGUCGUGCCUAAAAAAUUAAUAGUCUUUUUGCACUUUAUUAUAAUAUAAUCUUUUCUAGUAAUUGAAACUCAUAGACAGUUAACAAACUAAACAAUUCACUCGUAUCCCCAUCCACUUUUCAUUUAUGAAAGAGAUACGGUCAUGUUUAAAUUAUUUUUUCGUUCUCAAAUACCAACGAGUACCAGUUGAAAUACAUUAAUUGACGUUGAACUUUGCUACCUAGCAACUGCUUCGUGCUUGUGGUUGUACCACGGUCCUAAAUUGCACUAUUUACACUUUUUA
Molecule: long non-coding RNA, 1186 nt
Filed under: Neodiprion pinetum (white pine sawfly)
Lineage: Eukaryota; Metazoa; Arthropoda; Insecta; Hymenoptera; Diprionidae
Description: uncharacterized LOC124217379, transcript variant X2
Source: RNAcentral